Molecule: ribosomal RNA, 119 nt
Filed under: uncultured Alphaproteobacteria bacterium
Lineage: Bacteria; Pseudomonadati; Pseudomonadota; Alphaproteobacteria
Source: RNAcentral
CGACCCGGUGGCCCAAGCGGGGGUGCCCCACCCGAUCCCAUUCCGAACUCGGUCGUGAAAGCCCCCAGCGCCGAUGGUACUGCGUCUCAAGACGCGGGAGAGUAGGCCGCCGCCGGGUC